GACGAACGCUGGCGGCGUGCUUAACACAUGCAAGUCGAACGAAGAGCGAUGGAAGCUUGCUUCUAUCAAUCUUAGUGGCGAACGGGUGAGUAACGCGUAAUCAACCUGCCCUUCAGAGGGGGACAACAGUUGGAAACGACUGCUAAUACCGCAUACGAUCUAAACUCGGCAUCGAGGAUAGAUGAAAGGUGGCCUCUACAUGUAAGCUAUCACUGAAGGAGGGGAUUGCGUCUGAUUAGCUAGUUGGAGGGGUAACGGCCCACCAAGGCGAUGAUCAGUAGCCGGCCUGAGAGGAUGAACGGCCACAUUGGGACUGAGACACGGCCCAGACUCCUACGGGAGGCAGCAGUGGGGAAUCUUCCGCAAUGGACGAAAGUCUGACGGAGCAACGCCGCGUGAGUGAUGACGGCCUUCGGGUUGUAAAGCUCUGUUAAUCGGGACGAAAGGCCUUCUUGCGAAUAGUGAGAAGGAUUGACGGUACCGGAAGAGAAAGCCACGGCUAACUACGUG
RNAcentral lists this ribosomal RNA (510 nucleotides) under uncultured bacterium. Its description in RNAcentral is "partial 16S ribosomal RNA". It matches the Rfam family "Bacterial small subunit ribosomal RNA", at positions 28 to 507 of the family's 1533-position model. The record is from RNAcentral.